AGGAUAAACGCUGGCGGCGUGCCUAAAACAUGCAAGUCGAACGCAUCCCUUCGGGGGGUGAGUGGCGGACGGCUGAGUAACACGUGGGUGACCUGCCUCCAUGCGGGGGACAACCGCCCGAAAGGGCGGCUAAUACCGCAGAUCUGGCCGUAUUCGGUUCGGUCAGUAAACCCUUCGGGGGCGUGGAGAGGGCCCGCGGCCGAUUAGCUAGCUGGUGGGUGACGCCUACCAGGGCGUCGAUCGGUAGCUGGUCUGGAGAGGAUGAUCAGCCAGACCUGGGACUGACGACCGACGGCCCAGACCUACCGUACGGGAGGCAGCG
Molecule: ribosomal RNA, 322 nt
Filed under: uncultured soil bacterium
Lineage: Bacteria
Description: bacterial SSU rRNA
Rfam family: Bacterial small subunit ribosomal RNA
Source: RNAcentral